RNAcentral lists this transfer RNA (73 nucleotides) under Eubacterium sp. RNAcentral describes it as "tRNA-Thr". It matches the Rfam family "tRNA". Rfam says of the family: Transfer RNA (tRNA) molecules are approximately 80 nucleotides in length. Their secondary structure includes four short double-helical elements and three loops (D, anti-codon, and T loops). Lineage: Bacteria; Bacillati; Bacillota; Clostridia; Eubacteriales; Eubacteriaceae. The record is from RNAcentral. RNAcentral also lists the same sequence under 7 other names.
GCCGAUAUGGCUCAAUUGGCAGAGCAGCUGAUUUGUAAUCAGCAGGUUUUCGGUUCGAGUCCGAAUAUCGGCU